GACGAACGCUGGCGGCGUGCUUGACACAUGCAAGUCGAACGGAAAGGCCUGCUUUCCCUUGUGGAUUGCGGGUACUCGAGUGGCGAACGGGUGAGUAACACGUGAGUGAUCUGCCCCCAACUUGGGUAUAAGCCUGGGAAACUGGGUCUAAUUCCCGAUAGGACUGCAGGGUGGUGCCUGUGGUGGAAAACGAUUUUCUAGUGGUUGGGGAUGAGCUCGCGGCCUAUCAGCUUGUUGGUGGGGUAAUGGCCUACCAAGGCGGCGACGGGUAGCCGGCCUGAGAGGGUGGACGGCCACAUUGGGACUGAGAUACGGCCCAGACUCCUACGGGAGGCAGCAGUGGGGAAUAUUGCACAAUGGGCGGAAGCCUGAUGCAGCGACGCCGCGUGGGGGAUGACGGCCGUCGGGUUGUAAACUCCUUUCGACCGCGAGGAAGCCACCUGGUGGGAAGGGUGGUGACGGUAGUGGUAGAAGAAGCACCGGCUAACUACGU
RNAcentral lists this ribosomal RNA (493 nucleotides) under uncultured bacterium. Its description in RNAcentral is "partial 16S ribosomal RNA". It matches the Rfam family "Bacterial small subunit ribosomal RNA", at positions 28 to 506 of the family's 1533-position model. The record is from RNAcentral.